This 321-nucleotide ribosomal RNA is filed under the name Mycobacterium tuberculosis. RNAcentral's name for it is "partial 23S ribosomal RNA". It matches the Rfam family "Bacterial large subunit ribosomal RNA", at positions 433 to 751 of the family's 2925-position model. Lineage: Bacteria; Bacillati; Actinomycetota; Actinomycetes; Mycobacteriales; Mycobacteriaceae. The record is from RNAcentral.
CCUGUCUGAACAUGGGGGGACCACCCUCCAAGCCUAAGUACUCCUCAGCGACCGAUAGCGAACAAGUACCGUGAGGGAAAGGUGAAAAGCACCCCGACAAGGGGAGUGAAACAGUUCCUGAAACCGGAUACCUACAAACAGUCGGAGCCCAAGGUUCGUCCUGGGUGACGGCGUACCUUUUGUAUAAUGGGUCAGCGAGUUAGUCUAACGAGCAAGCUUAAGCCGGUAGGUGUAGGCGCAGCGAAAGCGAGUCUGAACAGGGCGUUCAGUUCGACGCAUUAGACCCGAAACCGAGUGAUCUAGCCAUGAGCAGGUUGAAGG